This 565-nucleotide ribosomal RNA is filed under the name Salmonella enterica subsp. enterica serovar Senftenberg. Its description in RNAcentral is "partial 23S ribosomal RNA". It matches the Rfam family "Bacterial large subunit ribosomal RNA", at positions 624 to 1190 of the family's 2925-position model. RNAcentral also lists the same sequence under 3 other names. The record is from RNAcentral. Lineage: Bacteria; Pseudomonadati; Pseudomonadota; Gammaproteobacteria; Enterobacterales; Enterobacteriaceae.
CGACUUAUAUUCUGUAGCAAGGUUAACCGAAUAGGGGAGCCGGAGGGAAACCGAGUCUUAAUUGGGCGUUAAGUUGCAGGGUAUAGACCCGAAACCCGGUGAUCUAGCCAUGGGCAGGUUGAAGGUUGGGUAACACUAACUGGAGGACCGAACCGACUAAUGUUGAAAAAUUAGCGGAUGACCUGUGGCUGGGGGUGAAAGGCCAAUCAAACCGGGAGAUAGCUGGUUCUCCCCGAAAGCUAUUUAGGUAGCGCCUCGUGAAUUCAUCUCCGGGGGUAGAGCACUGUUUCGGCUAGGGGGCCAUCCCGGCUUACCAACCCGAUGCAAACUGCGAAUACCGGAGAAUGUUAUCACGGGAGACACACGGCGGGUGCUAACGUCCGUCGUGAAGAGGGAAACAACCCAGACCGCCAGCUAAGGUCCCAAAGUCAUGGUUAAGUGGGAAACGAUGUGGGAAGGCCCAGACAGCCAGGAUGUUGGCUUAGAAGCAGCCAUCAUUUAAAGAAAGCGUAAUAGCUCACUGGUCGAGUCGGCCUGCGCGGAAGAUGUAACGGGGCUAAACCAU